Molecule: unclassified non-coding RNA, 333 nt
Filed under: fungal sp.
Lineage: Eukaryota; Fungi
Description: partial internal transcribed spacer region
Rfam family: Eukaryotic small subunit ribosomal RNA (bases 1-47)
Source: RNAcentral
AAGUCGUAACAAGGUUUCUGUAGGUGAACCUGCGGGAGGGAUCAUUAAGACGUAUCAAACUUUAACCCCCCUUUCAAUGCGCUCGCACGCUGAGGCAAUCCUGGUAAAUCAUCGCCGAGCAGUUUUGAUUCUGCUGGGACUUCUUCAAAGCGUGUGCAUGUUGCGCGAGGCAAGUGGCCUGGCAAUCCCAAACAGUUAAUGUCUGAAAGUGUCAUUAGCUAGGCGGGUCCCCGGGCGCAAGCCUUUAUCACCACUUGAUGCAUGACAGACAGCGCUUAAUUGUGCGGCGACCAAAAACCGAAUAACUGUUAACAAAGAAUAUCUUGAUUCUCU